RNAcentral lists this ribosomal RNA (1339 nucleotides) under uncultured bacterium. RNAcentral describes it as "bacterial SSU rRNA". It matches the Rfam family "Bacterial small subunit ribosomal RNA", at positions 28 to 1381 of the family's 1533-position model. The record is from RNAcentral.
GACGAACGCUGGCGGCGUGCUUAACACAUGCAAGUCGAACGGAAAGGCCCAGCUUGCUGGGUGCUCGAGUGGCGAACGGGUGAGUAACACGUGGGUGAUCUGCCCCUAACUUCGGGAUAAGCUUGGGAAACUGGGUCUAAUACCGGAUAGGACAAUCGUUUAGUGUCGGUUGUGGAAAGUUUUUUCGGUUAGGGAUGAGCCCGCGGCCUAUCAGCUUGUUGGUGGGGUAAUGGCCUACCAAGGCGUCGACGGGUAGCCGGCCUGAGAGGGUGGACGGCCACAUUGGGACUGAGAUACGGCCCAGACUCCUACGGGAGGCAGCAGUGGGGAAUAUUGCACAAUGGGCGCAAGCCUGAUGCAGCGACGCCGCGUGGGGGAUGACGGCCUUCGGGUUGUAAACCUCUUUCGACAGGGACGAAGCUUUGGUGACGGUACCUGUAUAAGAAGCACCGGCUAACUACGUGCCAGCAGCCGCGGUAAUACGUAGGGUGCGAGCGUUGUCCGGAAUUACUGGGCGUAAAGAGCUCGUAAGUGGUUUGUCGCGUCGUCUGUGAAUUCCGGGGCUUAACUUCGGGCGUGCAGGCGAUACGGGCAUAACUUGAGUGCUGUAGGGGAGACUGGAAUUCCUGGUGUAGCGGUGGAAUGCGCAGAUAUCAGGAGGAACACCGAUGGCGAAGGCAGGUCUCUGGGCAGUAACUGACGCUGAGGAGCGAAAGCAUGGGGAGCGAACAGGAUUAGAUACCCUGGUAGUCCAUGCCGUAAACGGUGGGCGCUAGGUGUAGGGGUCUUCCACGACUUCUGUGCCGUAGCUAACGCAUUAAGCGCCCCGCCUGGGGAGUACGGCCGCAAGGCUAAAACUCAAAGGAAUUGACGGGGGCCCGCACAAGCGGCGGAGCAUGUGGAUUAAUUCGAUGCAACGCGAAGAACCUUACCUGGGCUUGACAUAUGCAGGACUGGGCCAGAGAUGGUCUUUCCCUUUGUGGCUUGUAUACAGGUGGUGCAUGGUUGUCGUCAGCUCGUGUCGUGAGAUGUUGGGUUAAGUCCCGCAACGAGCGCAACCCUUGUCUUAUGUUGCCAGCGGUUUUGGCCGGGGACUCAUGAGAGACUGCCGGGGUUAACUCGGAGGAAGGUGGGGAUGACGUCAAAUCAUCAUGCCCCUUAUGUCCAGGGCUUCACACAUGCUACAAUGGUCGGUACAACGCGCUGCGAGCCUGUGAGGGUGAGCGAAUCGCUGAAAGCCGGCCUCAGUUCGGAUUGGGGUCUGCAACUCGACCCCAUGAAGUCGGAGUCGCUAGUAAUCGCAGAUCAGCAACGCUGCGGUGAAUACGUUCCCGGGCCU